This 1687-nucleotide long non-coding RNA is filed under the name Polistes dominula (European paper wasp). RNAcentral's name for it is "uncharacterized LOC107067442". The record is from RNAcentral. Lineage: Eukaryota; Metazoa; Arthropoda; Insecta; Hymenoptera; Vespidae.
CAAUUUCAAUCUAUAGGAAUAUUCGAUGAUGUUUUGGUGCGUCAGGGGUUUCGAUGGCGAGUAAAGAGUUUGGAGAGCAAAGGUUUGGGCAGGCAAAUACGAUUGGGUCAUCUUAUGCGUUAACGUUCCGAUGCCUCGUACGAGAGCGUACGUCAGUUCAAAGAGCGAACAUGGGGGGUACAAAGGUAGCUAGCCUCGUCCUAGCCUCGUUAUUGCGCAUUCAUACUCUUCUAAAGAUAAGUACUGCGUUUGUGUUUCUUCUUUAUUCUCCCCGUAAAUGUCCUCGUCUAAUUUAAUUACGUACGUAAUAAUUCGAUUAAUCAAUAAAUCCGUAAUAAAUCCGUAUAAACGUUUGAAUCGUGUGCGUGAGUGAACUAGUGGCGUCGAUGCCUGUCGUAGACAUCGACUAGGAAGUCUCUGUAGUAACCAGCGGUAAACGUAUCACAAGUUAUGUAGCAAGUUUAUUUAUUCGUCAUCGGAAUGCGAGCGUUCGAUGCUCGAGGUAAGUGCUUGCUUUUUCUCUUUCCUUUUCCUUUUCCUUCUAUUCCUCUUUUUCUAUUCGUAUUCUAUCCAUCCCUUUUCCUCCUUACCACCGACCUUACUUAUAAUUUAGCGGAUGAAAAAAAGGUGACAUUCUUUACGAUAUAUUAUAACUCUCCUCUUUCUUUUUGUCAAGUUGGCAAGUUCAAAAGUGCGAGGAUAAUGUUUAACAACGCUUACGCGACAAGCACGUGUCGAACCUCGAACGCUCGUCUUUAUUGUAUGUAGUUUAUAGCGUAACACAACGUCGCGACGCUCGUCGUCGUCGUCGUUGAAAGUACGACGCGCGUUACAUACGAUCGUUGUGAUCGCUUAGAUAAUCAUUAUUGUAUAUCAAACUUUAUAAACUGUAAUAUAAUGUAAACCUGUAAAAAAUAUACUGGGUGGCGGCGGCUCUGUAUAAUAUAAUAAGUAGUAUUAUAAUCGUUAUGGUACAAUUGUAAUUAGUAUAAAUAUAUCAUUAUGUUAUAUAUUGCGACGUAUGUUUUCAUUAUUUCAGUUUUUUCUUUUCUUCGUCAACUGAUUUUCUCUUUUCUAACUUUCUCGUUCGUUCUCUCUUUCUCUCGCGCACGCAUACAACACACGCGUACACACGCAAUUUCUCGCAAUUUCUCGCAAUUUCUCGCAAUUUCUCGCAAUUUCUCUCUCUCUUUCCCCUUUGCUUUUCACUUUAUUGAAAAUUUCUGGAAAACGUUGUUACGCUAUGUCCAUCUUUUCGUCAAUCUCCCUCACAUCGAAGAAUACGAUACGAUAAUUUCUCGUUGAUACAGCAAAGAUACGAUUCAGAUGUGAUUGUAAAAAUCGAUUCUUUAUCCCGUAGAGCGUAAUUGUGUGAGAAAGUUUGAAUAGUUGUUAAAAUAAAUUCUAAUGUCAGUCAAAAAUAAAAACGUAAAAGCGUAAAAGAAGUAUUUGUUUAAAAAACGAAUCAAACUUAGAUUGGUGAAAAUGCAAAGAUAUAAAAGAAGGAAGUGCGAUCUUUGCUGUACCAUGCAAUUUAAACUAUAGCGUAUCUUCGUUAUUAAAUAAUCGUGCGCUCAAGGCGAGGCUAGGGCGAUUUAGGAACUACGUGACAGCACAACCGAUGCAAGUAACUAUUUCAUCUGUAUGUUUUCUUUCUUUCAUAAAUAAAUUUAAAGUGAAGAAAGUA